This 99-nucleotide non-coding RNA is filed under the name unclassified sequences. RNAcentral's name for it is "PhotoRC-II RNA". It matches the Rfam family "PhotoRC-II RNA". The record is from RNAcentral.
UCACCUUUUCUAUGUGCACCCGUUAACCGAGACCUAUGGGUGGAUAAAUUACGUCUCUCAUAUCCUGUAGUGAAGGGAUUACAGGAAAUAAAGUAUCGC